This 98-nucleotide small nucleolar RNA is filed under the name Helianthus annuus (common sunflower). RNAcentral's name for it is "Small nucleolar RNA R64/Z200 family". It matches the Rfam family "Small nucleolar RNA R64/Z200 family". From Rfam's summary of the family: This family of plant small nucleolar RNAs belong to the C/D class of snoRNA which contain the C (UGAUGA) and D (CUGA) box motifs. The record is from Rfam by way of RNAcentral. Lineage: Eukaryota; Viridiplantae; Streptophyta; Magnoliopsida; Asterales; Asteraceae.
UUUCUGCAAUGAUGAAAUAUGAAUAAUUCACAUGUCAGACUUCAGAGGUUUUGAUAUCAAAAUCUAUGAGAAUGAAAUUCAUAUUUUCUGAGUAGUUU